Molecule: ribosomal RNA, 492 nt
Filed under: uncultured bacterium
Lineage: Bacteria
Description: partial 16S ribosomal RNA
Rfam family: Bacterial small subunit ribosomal RNA
Source: RNAcentral
AUUGAACGCUGGCGGCAUGCUCUACACAUGCAAGUCGAACGGUAACAGGCCUUCGGGUGCUGACGAGUGGCGAACGGGUGGGUAAUGCAUCGGAACGUACCCAGAGGUGGGGGAUAACGCAGCGAAAGCUGUGCUAAUACCGCAUGUGAUCUGAGGAUGAAAGCGGGGGACCGAGCAGCAAUGUUUGGCCUCGCGCCUUUGGAGCGGCCGAUGUCGGAUUAGCUAGUUGGUGGGGUCAAGGCCUACCAAGGCGACGAUCCGUAGCUGGUCUGAGAGGACGACCAGCCACACUGGGACUGAGACACGGCGCCGACUCCUACGGGAGGCAGCAGUGGGGAAUAUUGGACGAUGGGCGAAAGCCUGAUCCAGCAAUGCCGCGUGCGGGAAGAUGGCCUUCGGGUUGUGAACCGCGUUUGGCAGGAACGAAACGGUGUCCGCUAAUACCGGGCGCUAAUGACGGUACCUGCAGAAUGAGCACCGGCUAACUACGUG